RNAcentral lists this small RNA (149 nucleotides) under Chelonoidis abingdonii (Abingdon island giant tortoise). RNAcentral's name for it is "TUC338 (ENSCABG00000015014.1)". The record is from RNAcentral. Lineage: Eukaryota; Metazoa; Chordata; Testudines; Testudinidae.
UUGACGGCCACAUAGAAGGAAGUCCUCUGAUACAACACAGGCAUGAUCACUGAAGCUUCCCUACACUGCCCCCACCAAUGUGCUUCAAACUUGUUCUGGAGCGGCUAGAGGCUAGUUCAGUCUCACUGUCCAUUGAAUCUUUAGCCUCU